AUACUUACUUGACUGAGGUAAUUCCAUGAUCAGGAAGGUGAUUUCCCCAGGAUGAGGCUCUCCCAUUGCACUUCAGGCAUACUGACCAAUGCGAUUUCUCCGAAUGUGAGAAACUCAACUGCUCAAUUUGUGAUCGUGGGGACUGUGUUCGUGCUCUCCCCU
Small nuclear RNA from Suncus etruscus (white-toothed pygmy shrew), 162 nucleotides. RefSeq annotates it as U1 spliceosomal RNA. The transcript has a single exon. The record is from RefSeq and is a predicted model, not a curated record. Lineage: Eukaryota; Metazoa; Chordata; Mammalia; Eulipotyphla; Soricidae.